This 484-nucleotide ribosomal RNA is filed under the name uncultured bacterium. RNAcentral describes it as "partial 16S ribosomal RNA". It matches the Rfam family "Bacterial small subunit ribosomal RNA", at positions 29 to 523 of the family's 1533-position model. The record is from RNAcentral.
AGUGAACGCUGGCGGCGUGCUUAACACAUGCAAGUCGAACGAGAACGGGUUAUAGCUUGCUAUAAUUGUCAGCUAAGUGGCGCACGGGUGAGUAAUGUAUAGGUAAUAUGCCUCUUACUAAGGGAUAACAAAUGGAAACGUUUGCUAAUACCUUAUACUCCUUAUUAACAGAAGUUAAUAAGGGAAAGAUUUAUUGGUAAGAGAUUAGCCUGUAUUGUAUCAGUUAGUUGGCGGGGUAAUGGCCUACCAAGACUAUGACACAUAACUGGUUUGAGAGGAUGAUCAGUCACACUGGAACUGAGACACGGUCCAGACUCCUACGGGAGGCAGCAGUGGGGAAUAUUGCACAAUGGACGAAAGUCUGAUGCAGCAACGCCGCGUGGAGGAUGACACAUUUCGGUGCGUAAACUCCUUUUAUAUGAGAAGAUAAUGACGGUAUUAUAUGAAUAAGCACCGGCUAACUCCGUGCCAGCAGCCGCCGUAA